GUCCGGGCUGGGGUAAUGGUUAUCCUUCAGGCUUGUGGAGCCUGAGACGCGGAUUCGAUUUCCGCGCCCGGACU
This 74-nucleotide transfer RNA is filed under the name Halomarina oriensis. Its description in RNAcentral is "tRNA-His". It matches the Rfam family "tRNA". Rfam says of the family: Transfer RNA (tRNA) molecules are approximately 80 nucleotides in length. Their secondary structure includes four short double-helical elements and three loops (D, anti-codon, and T loops). The record is from RNAcentral. Lineage: Archaea; Methanobacteriati; Methanobacteriota; Halobacteria; Halobacteriales; Natronomonadaceae.